GGUGAGGCUGUUCUUACAGCCACUUAAUUUUUCAAAAUAAGCACAAU
This is a non-coding RNA of Opisthocomus hoazin, 47 nucleotides long. NCBI's taxonomy places the organism in Eukaryota, Metazoa, Chordata, Aves, Opisthocomiformes, Opisthocomidae. The record is from Rfam.